This 490-nucleotide ribosomal RNA is filed under the name uncultured bacterium. RNAcentral's name for it is "partial 16S ribosomal RNA". It matches the Rfam family "Bacterial small subunit ribosomal RNA", at positions 30 to 507 of the family's 1533-position model. The record is from RNAcentral.
AUUGAACGCUGGCGGCAGGCCUAACACAUGCAAGUCGAACGGUAACAGGAAGAAGCUUGCUUCUUUGCUGACGAGUGGCGGACGGGUGAGUAAUGUCUGGGAAACUGCCUGAUGGAGGGGGAUAACUACUGGAAACGGUAGCUAAUACCGCAUAACGUCGCAAGACCAAAGAGGUGGACCUUCGGGCCUCUUGCCAUCGGAUGUGCCCAGAUGGGAUUAGCUAGUAGGUGGGGUAACGGCUCACCUAGGCGACGAUCCCUAGCUGGUCUGAGAGGAUGACCAGCCACACUGGAACUGAGACACGGUCCAGACUCCUACGGGAGGCAGCAGUGGGGAAUAUUGGACAAUGGGCGCAAGCCUGAUGCAGCCAUGCCGCGUGUAUGAAGAAGGCCUUCGGGUUGUAAAGUACUUUCAGCGGGGAGGAAGGGAGUAAAGUUAAUACCUUGGCUCAUUGACGUUACCCGCAGAAGAAGCACCGGCUAACUCCGUG